Molecule: ribosomal RNA, 340 nt
Filed under: uncultured bacterium
Lineage: Bacteria
Description: bacterial SSU rRNA
Rfam family: Bacterial small subunit ribosomal RNA
Source: RNAcentral
AUUGAACGCUGGCGGCAUGCCUUACACAUGCAAGUCGAACGGCAGCACGGGAGCAAUCCUGGUGGCGAGUGGCGAACGGGUGAGUAAUAUAUCGGAACGUGCCCAGUCGUGGGGAUAACGUAGCGAAAGUUACGCUAAUACCGCAUACGAUCUACGGAUGAAAGCGGGGGACUCGCAAGAGCCUCGCGCGAUUGGAGCGGCCGAUAUCAGAUUAGGUAGUUGGUGGGGUAAAGGGCUCACCAAGCCAACGAUCUGUAGCUGGUCUGAGAGGACGACCAGCCACACUGGGACUGAGACACGGCCAGACUCCUACGGGAGGCAGCAGUGGGGAAUUUUGGAC